AGACGCAAACAGCGCGCAUUGUCGUCGACAUCGUGCAGGGAUUUCGCCACCCGUUGAAGGUACUGCUUGUAAAUACUGCAAGCAUAUCAGAUAAAGGAGAGCACAAGAAGAGAUGGAAGCCUGAGGGAAAACAACAUGUACGUCAGCCCGCCCCCCCACACACACAUAUACACAACAGAGUGACUCCCUCCACCAUCGCACAAUAUCGACGUCUCCAUAACGCAGAAGCCACGCUUCACGUCUCCUAUUUGGACGUCGAUUUCUUCAGGGAGACUAUUUCGUCCUCCCUCCGAACGGUCACUUGCUGCGGCGCUCUGUGCUGUUUUGUGCCAGUUUCCUUCAACGCCUCCAAGGAUGUUUCCCCGCAAGAUGAUUCUUCGUGAGGCGAA
Molecule: long non-coding RNA, 389 nt
Organism: Ornithodoros turicata
Lineage: Eukaryota; Metazoa; Arthropoda; Arachnida; Ixodida; Argasidae
Exons: 3
Source: RefSeq, a predicted model, not a curated record